Small nuclear RNA from Cebus imitator (Panamanian white-faced capuchin), 109 nucleotides. The record is from RefSeq and is a predicted model, not a curated record. NCBI's taxonomy places the organism in Eukaryota, Metazoa, Chordata, Mammalia, Primates, Cebidae.
GUGCUGGCUUUGGCAGCACAUAUAGUAGAAAUUGGAACAACACAAAGAAGAUUAGCAUGGCCCUUUAACAAAUUAAAAAAUAUUUAAGCAUUAAAAGAAAGAAAUUAUA